UGGGGAAUAUUGCACAAUGGGCGAAAGCCUGAUGCAGCGACGCCGCGUGCGGGAUGAAGGCCUUCGGGUUGUAAACCGCUUUUAAUUGGGAGCAAGCGAGAGUGAGUGUACCUUUUGAAUAAGCACCGGCUAACUACGUGCCAGCAGCCGCGGUAAUACGUAGGGUGCAAGCGUUAUCCGGAAUUAUUGGGCGUAAAGAGCUCGUAGGCGGUUUGUCACGCCUGGUGUGAAAGUCCAUCGCUUAACGGUGGAUCUGCGCCGGGUACGGGCAGGCUAGAGUGCAGUAGGGGAGAUUGGAAUUCCCGGUGUAACGGUGGAAUGUGUAGAUAUCGGGAAGAACACCAAUGGCGAAGGCAGAUCUCUGGGCUGUUACUGACGCUGAGGAGCGAAAGCAUGGGGAGCGAACAGGAUUAGAUACCCUGGUAGUCCAUGCCGUAAAACGGUGGAUGCUGGAUGUGGGACCCUUCCACGGGUUCCGUGUCGGAGCUAACGCGUUAAGCAUCCCGCCUGGGGGAGUACGGCCGCAAGGCUAAAAAC
This 537-nucleotide ribosomal RNA is filed under the name uncultured bacterium. RNAcentral describes it as "partial 16S ribosomal RNA". It matches the Rfam family "Bacterial small subunit ribosomal RNA", at positions 355 to 900 of the family's 1533-position model. The record is from RNAcentral.